GGUCAAAAUGACACCUCAAUCGUCUCCGAGCUCGUCUCGUGAUCACGUUUGUCUCGUUUGUCAAGAUUUCGCUUCUGGCUACCAUUAUGGUGUCCCGUCAUGUGUCGGAUGCAAGACAUUUUUCCGGCGAACAAUUAUGAAGAAACAAAAGUACAUUUGCCAAUUCGAGGGCAAUUGUCCAGUUGAUAAAACUAUCCGCUGUGCCUGCCGAUACUGCCGAUUCGAGAAAUGUUUGAGCGUGGGAAUGGACCGAAACGCCCUCCAACAAAACCGUGACCCUAUCGGAUACACAAAACGUACCAGGCGUCCAAAAAAAGAGCUGAAGACUACCUCGGACUGUUCAAGUGACGAAGGAGCAAGCACCCCACCAUCAGUGUCUCCAUUACAGCUAUCGCCUCCACCAAUCUCGCCACUCCUUUUCCAAGCUGCACCACUGAAACCUCGUCGCUGCAUCCUACAAACUCUUGCCGAACGCGAAAAGUGUGCAAAUGAUCUCCGACUCUCCGAAUAUCUUCCAAUCCGAUCUCUCCACGAGGCUCUAUGCUCAAAGGCUCUGCUGAACGACACGGCUUUUUUGGAAAAGUGGGGACAGCCGAGUGAGAGACAUCAGAUCUUCGAUCUACGAUUCGUCAAUCACGACGACUACCACUAUUGGCACGAGAGAGACUGGUUCUUGUUGACAGAGUAUGCCAAAACAUUCGAUGUUUUUGAGGCGCUCGAUUAUCAAGAUAAGGCCGAACUUGUUCGCCAUGCCGCAAUAACAGUCCCAGUCCUGGUUCAAGUCUGGAACUCCCCGGACUACGGACCAGACACAAUUGUAUUCCCAGAUGGUGCCUACUUCGAUCGUACUCCAGAGCCAACCCGCCGGACUCAACAGGAAAAAGUAUCAAAUGUUGGAUCUCGUGCUCAAGCCGUUCCGUGAUCUACAGCUCGACGCAACCGAAUUUGCAGCGUUCAAAGCGGUAACGUUUCUGAAUCCAGACGCUGACAUCUCUCUACCGGCUCGCAAGCUUGUGAACAACGAACGAGUCCGCAUCACCAAGCAGUUAUACGGCUACAUGGCCAUGAAAGACGACGUGGACACGGCAAUCGAAAGAUUCGCACGAUUGGUUCUGAUGGGAACGUCCAUGUCAAAAAUGGCGUGCGAAUCGAAAGAGGCCGUGUGGAUUGCAGACUUUUUCGAGAAUAUCGGCUUCUCGGCGUUUGCCCGGCAACUGUUUUUCGGUGAUACGACGAGCGUUGUUGCUCACAAAUUGUGAAGUGAAUAAAUUUAAAUUUAAUAAAUUAAUUUCCAGAAAUAUUUACACGCUUGAAAAAAAAUCUCAAUGCUAAUCCUAUUUAUAUACGUUUAUUAUUAUUUUUUUUUUUUGGUAUUUUUUUUGCAAUAAAGUUUUAACUUUU
This 1401-nucleotide unclassified non-coding RNA is filed under the name Caenorhabditis elegans. RNAcentral's name for it is "Non-coding transcript of protein-coding gene nhr-114". The record is from RNAcentral. Lineage: Eukaryota; Metazoa; Nematoda; Chromadorea; Rhabditida; Rhabditidae.